UACGAACCGUGCGAACGUUGUUCGGAUUCACUGGGCUUAAAGGGCGCGUAGGCGGGCGGUCAAGUCAAGGGUGAAAUCUUUCAGCUCAACUGGAAAAGUGCCUUUGAUACUGAUCGUCUUGAGGGAGGUAGGGGCAUGUGGAACUUCCGGUGGAGCGGUGAAAUGCGUAGAUAUCGGAAGGAACGCCGGUGGCGAAAGCGACGUGCUGGACCUCUUCUGACGCUGAGGCGCGAAAGCUAGGGGAGCAAACGGG
This 253-nucleotide ribosomal RNA is filed under the name uncultured bacterium. RNAcentral's name for it is "partial 16S ribosomal RNA". It matches the Rfam family "Bacterial small subunit ribosomal RNA", at positions 524 to 776 of the family's 1533-position model. The record is from RNAcentral.